UACAGAGACUGCAAGCGUUAUUCGGAUUCACUGGGCGUAAAGGGUGCGCAUGCGGCCGUGUGUGUCAGGUGUGAAAGCCCGGAGCUUAACUCCGGAAUUGCGCCUGAAACUACAUGGCUAGAGCAUUAGAGAGGGUAGCGGAAUUCACGGUGUAGCAGUGAAAUGCGCAGAUAUCGUGAGGAACACCAGAGGCGAAGGCGGCUACCUGGAUAAUUGCUGAUGCUCAGGCACGAAAGCGUGGGGAGCAAAAGGG
RNAcentral lists this ribosomal RNA (253 nucleotides) under uncultured bacterium. Its description in RNAcentral is "partial 16S ribosomal RNA". It matches the Rfam family "Bacterial small subunit ribosomal RNA", at positions 524 to 776 of the family's 1533-position model. The record is from RNAcentral.